ACCCAAACUAUUCUUUAUCAGUGACCUAUUUGCCAUCGAUUCCAGCAAUAACAUUUUGUCGACCUACCCGUUCCCACGCCUUGUUCCAUAGCUUGUGUUUUAAAA
Bradysia coprophila is the source of this 105-nucleotide long non-coding RNA. NCBI's taxonomy places the organism in Eukaryota, Metazoa, Arthropoda, Insecta, Diptera, Sciaridae. The record is from RefSeq and is a predicted model, not a curated record.